CACACUUUCAUAACCUCUGCUACCUCUCACGACUCUCGACCUCUGCUACUUCUCUCAAAGCUUGCGUUACCUCCUGCCUCCGUCGUCCUUGCCGCCACCGCCUCCGUCCCUUCCGCCGCCGCCGGCGCCUCCGCCUCCGUCCCUGCCGCGCCGGUGCCGCUCUUGUUUUGGGUCGCUUCGUGCACGGUUAGUUGCCCUGUUCUCAUUAACAACGUUCUAUUGUUCCUCUCCUCAAGCAAUUUUCCCCUUCCUCAUAAGGCUUUGUGAUAGCUAAUAUUUCAGAUUGGAUGACAAAGAAGUUGGGAUUAUAACAUAUGGUUUUCUAGAUUAAUUUGUUUGGUAGAUUGGGAUAAUAUGGAUCGAAAAUGGAUGUUUGCGAACCGUUUGUCGAAUGAGUACGAGGGUGGUAUUGAUGCUUUUUCAGUCUGAAGGUUCAUCGGUCAACUUCUGGUAUGAGUGUACCCAAAGCAAAGCAAAAUUAUAUUCCGUGGGAUAUCAUUGAGAUAUUAUGUGAUGAAGUUCAUGAAAGAUAUCAUCACUCACCAAGAACUUGUGAUCCCAACGAAAUAUUUUGAAGAUUGUCAGUUCGUUUCCUACAAUGAAGAGCAAUUGCGUGAAGUUAAAGAUGAGUGGGCCGCUUAUGUUUUUUACAAUUGUUUUUAGUAUUUAAUCUAUUGGAUAAUUAUCUAUGAGAUGGUGGUAGAUGAAGUUAAGGACGUGGUUGAGAUAUUAUGCACUUUAGAAAUUGCUUCGAAUUUAUGAAGCUUUUGAUAUUUAGAUAUAUUGGUUUUGAUAUGCUGAAGUUCAGAAAAUGUUUACUUUA
This is a long non-coding RNA of Lotus japonicus, 823 nucleotides long. RefSeq lists it as uncharacterized. The record is from RefSeq and is a predicted model, not a curated record. NCBI's taxonomy places the organism in Eukaryota, Viridiplantae, Streptophyta, Magnoliopsida, Fabales, Fabaceae. The transcript is spliced from 5 exons.